GGCAAUAGACAAGGAAAUCAAGGUUGGAACUACUACGACAAGGCUGGUUACAAGGAUAGGGGUCAAGGAAACUGAAAAAGUAAGAAUGAUAGGAGUGGACUAUAUGUACCUCCCGAAAGCAGAGAUAAUGCUACAACUAGCUCUAGCAAGAUGUCCAUGAAGGACAUGAUGGAGAAAUUAUUAAAGGGAGUUGAAGUUAC
RNAcentral lists this long non-coding RNA (200 nucleotides) under Capsicum annuum. Its description in RNAcentral is "long non-coding RNA (CANN_LNC015897)". Lineage: Eukaryota; Viridiplantae; Streptophyta; Magnoliopsida; Solanales; Solanaceae. The record is from RNAcentral.